GGCUACCUAGCGCAAUGGUAGCGCGUUUGGCUUCGAUUGCCUUCGUCUAUCAUACACCGUACUUCUUACCAAAAGGUUGCAGGUUCGAGUCCUGCGGUGGUCA
Molecule: non-coding RNA, 103 nt
Organism: Leucogyrophana mollusca
Lineage: Eukaryota; Fungi; Basidiomycota; Agaricomycetes; Boletales
Source: the annotation of a GenBank genome assembly